GAAGCAGGUGCUCAACGGCUGAGCCACACCUGCUCGCCUUGAUGCCUGCCCUGAUGGGUGCGGCCCGGUAGAGCAGAGCCCCAGGUCUCCGUGUCCCAGCCCCAGGCCGCUGUCCCAGGCCCUGCUCCCACUUGGGCUCCAGUUCUCCAUGUUCCGGUUCAUCACGUCUCAGCUUCUACGCUGUCCUUCUGCAUCACCUGAUUUUCCAGGAUUGGCCCAGGCCUGAUCCGAGGCAGGGAGACUCUGGGCGCAGAGAGGAGGCACCCCAGCUCUCCAGCUGCUGCUCCUGCACCC
This 294-nucleotide long non-coding RNA is filed under the name Dasypus novemcinctus (nine-banded armadillo). Its description in RNAcentral is "lncRNA (ENSDNOG00000052681.1)". Lineage: Eukaryota; Metazoa; Chordata; Mammalia; Cingulata; Dasypodidae. The record is from RNAcentral.